RNAcentral lists this ribosomal RNA (369 nucleotides) under Salmonella enterica subsp. enterica. Its description in RNAcentral is "partial 23S ribosomal RNA". It matches the Rfam family "Bacterial large subunit ribosomal RNA", at positions 2261 to 2629 of the family's 2925-position model. The record is from RNAcentral. Lineage: Bacteria; Pseudomonadati; Pseudomonadota; Gammaproteobacteria; Enterobacterales; Enterobacteriaceae.
GUGGGUAGUUUGACUGGGGCGGUCUCCUCCUAAAGAGUAACGGAGGAGCACGAAGGUUGGCUAAUCCUGGUCGGACAUCAGGAGGUUAGUGCAAUGGCAUAAGCCAGCUUGACUGCGAGCGUGACGGCGCGAGCAGGUGCGAAAGCAGGUCAUAGUGAUCCGGUGGUUCUGAAUGGAAGGGCCAUCGCUCAACGGAUAAAAGGUACUCCGGGGAUAACAGGCUGAUACCGCCCAAGAGUUCAUAUCGACGGCGGUGUUUGGCACCUCGAUGUCGGCUCAUCACAUCCUGGGGCUGAAGUAGGUCCCAAGGGUAUGGCUGUUCGCCAUUUAAAGUGGUACGCGAGCUGGGUUUAGAACGUCGUGAGACAG